AGUUCGGAAUAAGCUGCGGGAGAUAGUAGGUGUAUCCACAAAACUGGAGAGACCACGUAAAAGCAAUGGAGGAAAGGAAGUUACUUGAUAAUUUUUUGGCUAAAUCACAGAAAGACCUACCACCGAGGAAAAUGAAGGAUUUGACUGUUCAAAACACAGUAAGAUUCGGCAGGAUUCUUGAGGAUCUUGACAGCUUAGGAGGUACUG
This is a long non-coding RNA of Psammomys obesus (fat sand rat), 207 nucleotides long. RefSeq lists it as uncharacterized. Lineage: Eukaryota; Metazoa; Chordata; Mammalia; Rodentia; Muridae. The transcript is spliced from 3 exons. The record is from RefSeq and is a predicted model, not a curated record.